AAUUGGUAUCCAUGAAAAUUAAUGAAUCCAUCAGUAAUUGGUUUGAAUGAAUUGAAGUGAUUGAAUCAUUCAGAUUGAAAAAUACACAUCUGAGGAAGUGGUUUCGCUGACAAGGUCUGUUGAAGUUUACGCUGGAAGGACUACUUUCUUGUUCCUCAGCAUUUCUUGUAAUACAAAGCCUUUAAACUUAGAGGCGAAAAUUUCAUUAGUUGACACAAAAAAUUGUCACCAAAAGUAAACGGGGCAUUAAUGCAGAUCCUAUAGACAAAGUGUUGACACACAA
Molecule: long non-coding RNA, 283 nt
Filed under: Mytilus galloprovincialis (Mediterranean mussel)
Lineage: Eukaryota; Metazoa; Mollusca; Bivalvia; Mytilida; Mytilidae
Source: RNAcentral